RNAcentral lists this ribosomal RNA (375 nucleotides) under uncultured bacterium. RNAcentral describes it as "bacterial SSU rRNA". It matches the Rfam family "Bacterial small subunit ribosomal RNA", at positions 524 to 898 of the family's 1533-position model. The record is from RNAcentral.
UACGUAGGGGGCAAGCGUUGUCCGGAAUUACUGGGUGUAAAGGGUGUGCAGGCGUCUCCCUAAGUUGAUUGUGAAAGCCCGAAGCUCAACUUCGGAACGGCAGUCAAUACUGGGGGGAUGGAGGUUAUGGGAGGGAAGUGGAAUUCUCGGUGUAGCGGUGAAAUGCGUAGAUAUCGAGAGGAACACCGGUGGCGAAGGCGGCUUCCUAUCAUAGACCUGACGCUCAUACACGAAAGCUAGGGGAGCAAACAGGAUUAGAUACCCUGGUAGUCCUAGCCCUAAACGAUGAAUACUAGGUGUUGGAGGAUCAAAUCCUUCAGUGUCGUAGCUAACGCGUUAAGUAUUCCACCUGGAAAGUACGGUCGCAAGGCUGAA